This 738-nucleotide long non-coding RNA is filed under the name Helianthus annuus (common sunflower). The record is from RNAcentral. Lineage: Eukaryota; Viridiplantae; Streptophyta; Magnoliopsida; Asterales; Asteraceae.
AAAAAAAAAAAAAAAAAAAAAAGAAAUAAAGGUUGGCAGCCGCACAUUCCCUCACACUCCUCCUCCUUUCGUUGUCUUUCCGGUGACCGGAGCCACACUUCCGGCGACUUCCGACACCCCUCUCUUUCAGGCGAACCAUACUCACAUCACACCACCACACCCUCGUUCUUUCUCUACCGUUUCGUCAAGCAACAUCAACGACAACGCAGAACUCCGGUGACGGUUAUCCUCCAGUGAUGAUGGUGAAGACGUUGGUGGCCGACGGCAGCCGAAACCACAACUAUAGACGAGGUGGUGGUCUUGGUUCGACUCUGCGUUGGCUCGGAUCAGAUCUCGGAGCAGGAUGAAAAAAAAAAAACGCAACCUCACACGUCCACCUAUUUCACGUUUUCUCCGGUAGUUAGGUAUCUUGGAAUUGGGAAGCUUGCUAUCUGGGAGUGCUGGAGUGGUCAUGGAUCGAGGCUCUUGGAUUAAAAUACAUUUAAUACAUUGGUUUUAAGUGUUAUUACGAAACAAUUGCGCAACAACUUAUUACAUGCUUCCGCUACACAACUUUUGAGAAUUAAUAUUAUGUUGGCAACUUAUUUUGUUAAAAUAGUGUCAUGACUUAUUUUAAUAUUUAUCAUUGGUUCAAUGUGAUUGGUGGCUCGAACUUUGAUGCGUGACACGUCUCGCGGGGUUUCCGCAAGUGAAAUUUUGGGGGUGUUACAGUAUAAUUACUCAACUGAUAAAAAUCAU